UACGAAGGGGGCGAGCGUUGUUCGGAAUUACUGGGCGUAAAGGGCGCGUAGGCGGCGACUCUAGUCAGAUGUGAAAGUCCUGGGCUUAACCUGGGGACUGCAUUUGAUACUGGGUUGCUUGAAUUCGGGAGAGGAUAGCGGAAUUCCCAGUGUAGAGGUGAAAUUCGUAGAUAUUGGGAAGAACACCGGUGGCGAAGGCGGCGAGCUGGUCCAUUACUGACGCUGAGGCGCGACAGCGUGGGGAGCAAACAGG
RNAcentral lists this ribosomal RNA (253 nucleotides) under uncultured bacterium. Its description in RNAcentral is "partial 16S ribosomal RNA". It matches the Rfam family "Bacterial small subunit ribosomal RNA", at positions 524 to 776 of the family's 1533-position model. The record is from RNAcentral.